UAGGGAAUCUUCCGCAAUGGGCGAAAGCCUGACGGAGCAACGCCGCGUGAGUGAUGAAGGGUUUCGGCUCGUAAAACUCUGUUAUUAGGGAAGAACAAAUGUGUAAGUAACUGUGCACGUCUUGACGGUACCUAAUCAGAAAGCCACGGCUAACUACGUGCCAGCAGCCGCGGUAAUACGUAGGUGGCAAGCGUUAUCCGGAAUUAUUGGGCGUAAAGCGCGCGUAGGCGGUUUCUUAAGUCUGAUGUGAAAGCCCACGGCUCAACCGUGGAGGGUCAUUGGAAACUGGGAAACUUGAGUGCAGAAGAGGAAAGUGGAAUUCCAUGUGUAGCGGUGAAAUGCGCAGAGAUAUGGAGGAACACCAGUGGCGAAGGCGACUUUCUGGUCUGUAACUGACGCUGAUGUGCGAAAGCGUGGGGAUCAAACAGGAUUAGAUACCCUGGUAGUCCACGCCGUAAACGAUGAGUGCUAAGUGUUAGGGGGUUUCCGCCCCUUAGUGCUGCAGCUAACGCAUUAAGCACUCCGCCGGGGGAGUACGACCGCAAGGUUGAAACUUAAAGGAAUUGACGGGGGUCAUAGCUGUUUCCUG
This 589-nucleotide ribosomal RNA is filed under the name uncultured bacterium. RNAcentral describes it as "partial 16S ribosomal RNA". It matches the Rfam family "Bacterial small subunit ribosomal RNA", at positions 355 to 941 of the family's 1533-position model. The record is from RNAcentral.